CUCCUGAGAUACCUCUCUCUUAUGAUGUUAAUGGAGCGACUAUAUUCAUCAUUGUGAUUGGAAUCAUCCUGGGAUUUAUCAACAGGAAAACUUGCCUCGGAGAGGAAAUCGAACACAUGACCACAGCACUGUACACGGAAGUGGAAUAUACCGAGUGAGACGGGGCUUAAAGUUUUACAUAUGUUUAAUUUCUU
This is a long non-coding RNA of Mugil cephalus (flathead mullet), 194 nucleotides long. RefSeq lists it as uncharacterized. The transcript has 3 exons. NCBI's taxonomy places the organism in Eukaryota, Metazoa, Chordata, Actinopteri, Mugiliformes, Mugilidae. The record is from RefSeq and is a predicted model, not a curated record.